This 1138-nucleotide long non-coding RNA is filed under the name Heterocephalus glaber (naked mole-rat). RNAcentral's name for it is "lncRNA (ENSHGLG00000047001.1)". Lineage: Eukaryota; Metazoa; Chordata; Mammalia; Rodentia; Bathyergidae. The record is from RNAcentral.
CAGAAGUGCUGAGUUUUUAGUGGUGGCAGAUCCCUGCUGACAUCCCACCGGGCGUGUUUGAUGGCUUCCCUCUACUCCACACCAGAUGCCUCUGGAUGAUAUGAGCUCAGAAUGCACUUCUCCCACAAGCUCAAAAGAGGCCACAGCGUGAGCAGGUCCCAUCUGCCAAGGGAUUCCACCGCUUGCAUGGAGGCACCAGCAGCCAUUUCUCUAGUUUACGUUGGUGUGAAGCUUUCCAGCAGAAUAAAAGGGAUUGAACUUGGGUUCUUGCGCUUGCAAGGCAGGCAGCGAAACCACUGAGCUAAAUUCCCAGCGGCAUGAUAUUUUUAAAAAUAUGCCAUGAAGUAAACAGGCCUCCUAUGCCACACAUUCUCACUGUGAUGUACUGUGCCAGUACUGUGAUGUACUUGACCGAAAGCAACAGGGCCAAGCAACCAUGGACUGAAGCCUCUGAAACUAGUAUCGUCCUGCUGACAAUCCUUUCCUAGGACUGCCUGUUGCCACCAGGAAAAAGAUGCCACAGGGAUCGAACUCGCUUGCAAGGCAGGUGGCGGCACCACUGAGCUAAAUCCCUAGCCCUGAAUUUUAAUUCUUAUACAAGUCACCAAUAAGAUUCGUCAAACAAACAUGCAAAAGAGGAUGAUUUUUUAAAAACUAAGUAUUAUAGUUUACAUCCCAAGAGCCUCUUGUGCUCAAAGACAUGGACUUCGGAAGAGGAUUAUGAAGGGCACCAUAGGUGACUUGCGGUUAGCAGGUGGGUGUGGCCGGGGCCAGUAGUUCACAGCGGCAGGACCUGACAAGGUGUAUCUCCUCCCAUGCUGCUCCCUUGGGUCUUUCCAUCAUGAAGAGAACACUUUCCUCUGCCCAGGCCUUUCCACCUUGCAGUUUCUGUGUUUAAGCCUGCUGACCAUGGACUGAAACUUCUGAACUGUGAGCCAAAAUGAACCUCUCCUCCUUUAAAUUGUAGGUGUCAGGUAUUUUGUCCCAGAAACCAGGAAAGUGACUAAGACACUAAGUAACAGCUUUGGAAAUAUUUUUGUUUUUUCCCUGCCUCUGUUGAAAAGCAGUAAUCUUUAAGUUAGGGGUAUAAUAUUAGGAAGUAAUGUUAUGGCAUAUUAUAUGUGAGGUCCUGGAUUUG